UAUAAUUGUCAGCUAAGUGGCGCACGGGUGAGUAAUGUAUAGAUAACCUGCCCUUAAGAAAGGAAUAACAGUUGGAAACGACUGCUAAUGCCCUAUAUGCCUUUAAUACAUAAGUAUGCAAGGGAAACGCUUUAGUGCUUAAGGAUGGGUCUGUAUGGUAUCAGCUUGUUGGUGAGGUAAUGGCUCACCAAGGCUAUGACGCCUAACUGGUUUGAGAGGAUGAUCAGUCACACUGGAACUGAGACACGGUCCAGACUCCUACGGGAGGCAGCAGUGGGGAAUAUUGCACAAUGGACGAAAGUCUGAUGCAGCAACGCCGCGUGGAGGAUGACACAUUUCGGUGCGUAAACUCCUUUUAUAUAGGAAGAUAAUGACGGUACUAUAUGAAUAAGCACCGGCUAACUCCGUGCCAGCAGCCGCGGUAAUACGGAGGGUGCAAGCGUUACUCGGAAUCACUGGGCGUAAAGAGCGUGUAGGCGGGUAUAUAAGUCAGAAGUGAAAUCCAAUAGCUCAACUAUUGAACUGCUUUUGAAACUGUGUACCUAGAAUGUGGGAGAGGUAGAUGGAAUUUCUGGUGUAGGGGUAAAAUCCGUAGAGAUCAGAAGGAAUACCGAUUGCGAAGGCGAUCUACUGGAACAUUAUUGACGCUGAGACGCGAAAGCGUGGGGAGCAAACAGGAUUAGAUACCCUGGUAGUCCACGCCCUACACGAUGUACACUAGUUGUUGUGAGGCUCGACCUUGCAGUAAUGCAGUUAACACAUUAAGUGUACCGCCUGGGGAGUACGGUCGCAAGAUUAAAA
This 801-nucleotide ribosomal RNA is filed under the name uncultured bacterium. RNAcentral describes it as "bacterial SSU rRNA". It matches the Rfam family "Bacterial small subunit ribosomal RNA", at positions 79 to 899 of the family's 1533-position model. The record is from RNAcentral.